AAGUCGCACGAGAACGCUUCAGCUUGCUGAAGCUAGUAAAGUGGCGCACGGGUGAGUAACGCGUGGGUAAUCUACCUCCAAAUUGGGGAUAACAUUGCGAAAGCGAUGCUAAUACCGAAUAAUAUCUCAAAACUUCGGUUUUCGAGAUCAAAGGUGGCCUCUCCAUGGAAGCUACUGUUAGGAGAUGAGCCCGCGUACCAUUAGCUUGUUGGUAGGGUAAUGGCCUACCAAGGCAACGAUGGUUAGCUGGUCUGAGAGGAUGAUCAGCCACACUGGAACUGACACACGGUCCAGACUCCUACGGGAGGCAGCAGUGAGGAAUUUUGCGCAAUGGGGGAAACCCUGACGCAGCAACGCCGCGUGAGUGAUGAAGGCCUUCGGGUCGUAAAGCUCUGUCAAGUGGGAAGAACCCGCCCUGUGCUAAUAUCACCGGGCACUGACGGUACCACUGAAGGAAGCACCGGCUAACUCCGUG
Molecule: ribosomal RNA, 475 nt
Filed under: uncultured bacterium
Lineage: Bacteria
Description: bacterial SSU rRNA
Rfam family: Bacterial small subunit ribosomal RNA
Source: RNAcentral